RNAcentral lists this ribosomal RNA (497 nucleotides) under uncultured bacterium. RNAcentral's name for it is "partial 16S ribosomal RNA". It matches the Rfam family "Bacterial small subunit ribosomal RNA", at positions 28 to 507 of the family's 1533-position model. The record is from RNAcentral.
GAUGAACGCUGGCGGCGUGCCUAAUACAUGCAAGUCGAGCGAACGGACGAGAAGCUUGCUUCUCUGAUGUUAGCGGCGGACGGGUGAGUAACACGUGGAUAACCUACCUAUAAGACUGGGAUAACUUCGGGAAACCGGAGCUAAUACCGGAUAAUAUUUUGAACCGCAUGGUUCAAAAGUGAAAGACGGUCUUGCUGUCACUUAUAGAUGGAUCCGCGCUGCAUUAGCUAGUUGGUAAGGUAACGGCUUACCAAGGCAACGAUGCAUGGCCGACCUGAGAGGGUGAUUGGCCACACUGGAACUGAGACGCGGUCCAGACUCCUACGGGAGGCAGCAGUAGGGAAUCUUCCGCAAUGGGCGAAAGCCUGACGGAGCAACGCCGCGUGAGUGAUGAAGGUCUUCGGAUCGUAAAACUCUGUUAUUAGGGAAGAACAUAUGUGUAAGUAACUGUGCACAUCUUGACGGUACCUAAUCAGAAAGCCACGGCUAACUACGUG